Molecule: ribosomal RNA, 443 nt
Filed under: uncultured bacterium
Lineage: Bacteria
Description: partial 16S ribosomal RNA
Rfam family: Bacterial small subunit ribosomal RNA
Source: RNAcentral
CCUACGGGAGGCUGCAGUGGGGAAUAUUGGUCAAUGGGCGCAAGCCUGACCCAGCCAAGCCGCGUGAAGGAAGAAGGCUUUCGGGUUGGAAACUUCUUUUCUCAGGGACGAAACAAGUGACGGUACCUGAGGACUAAGCCACGGCUAACUACGUGCCAGCAGCCGCGGGAAUACGUAGGUGGCAAGCGUUAUCCGGAUUUACUGGGUGUAAAGGUCGUGUAGGCGGGAAAGCAAGUCAGAUGUGAAAACCACGGGGUCAACCUGUGGCCUGCCUUUGAAACUGGUUGUCUUGAGUACUGGAGAGGCAGACGGAAUGCGUAGUGUAGCGGUGAAAUGCGUAGAUAUUAGGAGGAACACCAGUGGCGAAGGCGGUCUGCUGGACAGCAACUGACGCUGAGGCGCGAAAGCGUGGGGAGCAAACAGGAUUAGAUACCCUUGUAGUC